UCUCCGUAGGUGAACCUGCGGAGGGAUCAUUACAGAGUUCAUGCCCUACCGGGUAGAUCUCCCACCCUAUGUUAUUAUUACUUUGUUGCUUUGGCGGGCCGUUAGGCUCCGGCCCGACUACCGGCCCCGGCUGGUAAGCGCCCGCCAGAGGACCCAAAACCCUGAAUAUUAGUGUCGUCUGAGUACUAUAUAAUAGUUAAAACUAUCAACAACGGAUCUCUUGGUUCUG
RNAcentral lists this unclassified non-coding RNA (229 nucleotides) under plant metagenome. Its description in RNAcentral is "partial contains small subunit ribosomal RNA, internal transcribed spacer 1, and 5.8S ribosomal RNA". The record is from RNAcentral.